This 497-nucleotide ribosomal RNA is filed under the name uncultured bacterium. RNAcentral's name for it is "partial 16S ribosomal RNA". It matches the Rfam family "Bacterial small subunit ribosomal RNA", at positions 30 to 523 of the family's 1533-position model. The record is from RNAcentral.
AUUGAACGCUGGCGGCAUGCCUUACACAUGCAAGUCGAACGGUAACAGGUCUUCGGAUGCUGACGAGUGGCGAACGGGUGAGUAAUACAUCGGAACGUGCCUAGUAGUGGGGGAUAACUACUCGAAAGAGUGGCUAAUACCGCAUGAGAUCUACGGAUGAAAGCAGGGGAUCGCAAGACCUUGUGCUACUAGAGCGGCCGAUGGCAGAUUAGGUAGUUGGUGGGAUAAAAGCUUACCAAGCCGACGAUCUGUAGCUGGUCUGAGAGGACGAUCAGCCACACUGGGACUGAGACACGGCCCAGACUCCUACGGGAGGCAGCAGUGGGGAAUUUUGGACAAUGGGCGAAAGCCUGAUCCAGCAAUGCCGCGUGCAGGAUGAAGGCCUUCGGGUUGUAAACUGCUUUUGUACGGAACGAAAAGCCCCGGGUUAAUACCCUGGGUCACGACGGUACCGUAAGAAUAAGCACCGGCUAACUACGUGCCAGCAGCCGCCGUAA